CUCUCUCCCCACCUCCCCUCUUCGGGGUGCCCUAUUUAGUUGAGGUGGUCCCCUCGUCUAUGUGGUAGGGCCUCCCUUGUCUUUUGUGUGUUUGUCGAGCCGUCUAGUGUCGGUGAACCCCUGUCGUCGGGGGUAGACCUGCCCCUGUGUGGCUGUCAUCCCCUCUCCUCUCUGGGUUUGUAGCCUCCGGCCGCUAGCUAUGUGGUGGUAGUUAUGUCAUGUCAAUAAAUUCGGGGUCUGUUGUCUUCAGGAUCCAAUGUGUCCAAGUGUUCAGGUACACUUGAAAUGUAUCGUGAGCUUUGUGGUGAAGUUCCUCUAGAGAUCUCAGUUCUUCCAUUUGCGUAAACCAUAC
This is a non-coding RNA of Pelobates cultripes (western spadefoot toad), 352 nucleotides long. The record is from the annotation of a GenBank genome assembly. NCBI's taxonomy places the organism in Eukaryota, Metazoa, Chordata, Amphibia, Anura, Pelobatidae.